AAGGGUCAGAUAUGAAUGGUAUAUAUAGUGUUUUUUAAACCUGACUUGUUUCAUGUCCACUGAGCCUGGAGAUGGUGGUGUGUCUAGGGUUGGGGUUAGGAGAUGAUGGUGUGUCUCGGGUCAGGGUUUAGAGAUGAGGGUGUGUCUAGGGUUAGGGAGAUGAUGGUGUGUCUAGGGUGAGGGAGAUGAUGGUGUGUCUAGGGUUAGUGUUAGGAGAUGAUGGUGUGUGUAGGGUUAGGGAGAUGAUGGUGUGUCUAGGGUUAGUGAGAUGAUGGUGUGUCUAGGGUUAGUGAGGGAGAUGUUGGUGUGUCUAGGGUUAGUAUUAGGGUUAGAGAGAUGAUGGUGUGUCUAGGGUUAGUAUUAGAGUGAGGGAGAUGAUGGUGUGUCUAGGGUUACGGAGAUGAUGGUGUGUCUAGGGUUAGGAGAUGAUGGUGUGUCUAGGGUUAGUGUUAGGAGAUGAAGGUGUGUCUAGGGUUAGUGUUAGGAGAUGAAGGUGUGUCUAGGGUUAGGGUGAGGGAGAUGAUGGUGUGUCUAGGGUUGGGGAGAUGAUGGUGUGUCUAGGGUUACGGAGAUGAUGGUGUGUCUAGGGUUGGGGAGAUGAUGGUGUGUCUAGGGUUACGGAGAUGAUGGUGUGUCUAGGGUUAGGGAGAUGAUGGUGUGUCUAGGGUUACGGAGAUGAUGGUGUGUCUAGGGUUGGGGUGAGGGAGAUGAUGGUGUGUCUAGGGUUAGUAUUAGAGUGAGGGAGAUGAUGGUGUGUCUAGUGUUAGGGAGAUGAUGGUGUGUCUAGGGUUAGGAGAUGAUAAUGUGUCUAGGGUUAGUGUGAGGAGAUGAUGGUGUGUCUAGGGUUACGGAGAUGAUGGUGUGUCUAGGGUCAGGGUGUGUGUGUGAGGGUAAGGGAGAUGAUGGUGUGUCUAGCCACCCAAACAAUAAGGAAGACUCUGAGCCCUGUCCUACUCUGACUGAUCCUUUUAUAUUCACUGAAAAUGUCCUGGCACUAAUAAAAUAUACAUAUUAAGAGGGUUAAUGGAGAUGUUCCUCAAACAAGAUACCCCGAGCGACACAUCAAUUAUUCUUUCAAAGUUCCACUACAGCAGCUGAGAUACCCAGCAACACACACUUCCGUAUCACCCUCACACACUUCCGUAUCACCCUCACACACUUCUGUAUCACAACACAACCUUCCAUAUCCCUCUCACACACUUCCAUAUACCUCUCACACACUUCUUUAUCACAACACACACUUCCACAUCACCCUCACACACUUCCAUAUCCCUCUCACACACUUCCAUAUACUGUAUCACAACACACACUUCCAUAUCACCCUCACACACUUCCAUAUCACCCUCACACACUUCCAUAUCACCCUCUCAAAAUCACUCACAAACUGGACGUGUGUCCAUAGCUGUCCAUUGUGGAGUAAUUACAGUGAAACAAAGGGAUCGGUUGUGUAUAUUGCAUUAUUACGUGUAAAUGUCACCCAAAAGUCUUGGCAGUAUAUGCAGUAUAUGCUUGCCUACAGAGUGCUUACUGGUUCUGCUCCCACCUACCUAAAUGCUCUUGUAAGGGCAAAUGUUACACCCAGGACGCUGCGCUCGUCUAGUGAUCGUCGUUUGGCACUGCCGUCCGUGCGAGCACGGCAAUCCAGACUAUUUUCAUUUGUAGUUCCACGUUGGUGGAACGAACUGCCUAGUACUACCAGAGCAGGGGCGUCCCUCUCUACCUUCAAGAAGCUUUUGAAGACCCAACUCUUCAGAGAGCACCUCCCCUCCUAACUGGCACCCGACUAGCGCUUAACUUGCACUUCAGCAGUUAUAUUCCUGCACUUCUUUUUCCUCUUUUCUAGGUUGUUGUUUUUUCUAAUUCUCAUGUAAAGUAGUAUUUAUUGUUACACCAUGCUUUUUUAUUGCUCUUAGCUUGACUGUUCUCUCCCUUGUACGUCGCUUUGGACAAAAGCGUCUGCUAAAUGACUAAAUGUAAAUGUAAAUGUAAAUAUGGGGUUGGAUUAUCAGUGGGGGUAACAGUCCCACGAUGUGUGACGGAGCUCCAAAAAAAAAAAAAAGCUAUGGUCAGAAUAUCACCACGUGAUCCUGUGUCUGAGUCACUGGUGAUGUCUAUGCCCGUGUUGAUCUUAGAUAGGAUCUCAAGUGUUGCACCUUUGGGAAGAAUUACUGUAGUAUUGACUGAAAGAAACUCACUAAACGUGCGUGACUGCUAUGUGUUGUGGCUCUCCUCAAUCCAAUAAAAUACACGAUGGCUUCCGUUGAAGCAUGGCAGGGUUCUGUGUGGGCUUGCAGUGCUGGCGUGUUUGAGUGCAGUAGCGUGUAGCGUGUUACGGAGGGGCACAAGGUGAAUCUGUAAACCUGUUGACAAGCAUGA
Molecule: long non-coding RNA, 2376 nt
Organism: Clupea harengus (Atlantic herring)
Lineage: Eukaryota; Metazoa; Chordata; Actinopteri; Clupeiformes; Clupeidae
Source: Ensembl